RNAcentral lists this transfer RNA (72 nucleotides) under Candidatus Woesearchaeota archaeon. RNAcentral's name for it is "tRNA-Asp". It matches the Rfam family "tRNA". Rfam says of the family: Transfer RNA (tRNA) molecules are approximately 80 nucleotides in length. The record is from RNAcentral. RNAcentral also lists the same sequence under 1 other name. Lineage: Archaea; Nanobdellati; Candidatus Woesearchaeota.
GCCCUAGUAGUCUAGUGGCUAUGAUACGGCCCUGUCGAGGCCGUGGCGCGGGUUCGAUUCCCGCCUAGGGCG